AACUGCAUUUGAUACUGGCAAACUAGAGUAUGGUAGAGGAAUGGGGAAUUUCUGGUGUAGCGGUGAAAUGCGUAGAGAUCAGAAGGAACACCAAUGGCGAAGGCAACAUUCUGGACCAAUACUGACACUGAGGGACGAAAGCGUGGGGAUCAAACAGGAUUAGAUACCCUGGUAGUCCACGCUGUAAACGAUGAGUACUAGCUGUUGGAUUCGGUGUAAAGGAUCUAGUGGCGUAGCUAACGCGUUAAGUACUCCGCCUGGGGACUACGGCCGCAAGGCUAAAACUCAAAGGAAUUGACGGGGACCCGCACAAGCGGUGGAGCAUGUGGUUUAAUUCGAUGCAACGCGAAGAACCUUACCUGGUCUUGACAUCCUGCGAACUUUCUAGAGAUAGAUUGGUGCCUUCGGGAACGCAGUGACAGGUGCUGCACGGCUGUCGUCAGCUCGUGUUGUGAAAUGUUGGGUUAAGUCCCGCAACGAGCGCAACCCCUAUUGAUAGUUACCAUCAUUAAGUUGGGUACUCUAUUGAGACUGCCGCUGACAAGGCGGAGGAAGGUGGGGACGACGUCAAGUCAUCAUGGCCCUUACGACCAGGGCUACACACGUGCUACAAUGGGUAUUACAGAGGGCAGCGAAGUAGCGAUAUGGAGCGAAACUCAGAAAGGUACUCUUAGUCCGGAUUGCAGUCUGCAACUCGACUGCAUGAAGUCGGAAUCGCUAGUAAUCGCAGGUCAGAAUACUGCGGUGAAUACGUUCCCGGGUCUUGUACAAAGGGCCCGUCACGCCAUGGG
Molecule: ribosomal RNA, 791 nt
Filed under: uncultured bacterium
Lineage: Bacteria
Description: bacterial SSU rRNA
Rfam family: Bacterial small subunit ribosomal RNA
Source: RNAcentral